RNAcentral lists this ribosomal RNA (591 nucleotides) under Aspergillus oryzae. RNAcentral describes it as "eukaryotic LSU rRNA". The stretch from base 208 to 361 matches the Rfam family "5.8S ribosomal RNA". Lineage: Eukaryota; Fungi; Ascomycota; Eurotiomycetes; Eurotiales; Aspergillaceae. The record is from RNAcentral.
AGGUGAACCUGCGGAAGGAUCAUUACCGAGUGUAGGGUUCCUAGCGAGCCCAACCUCCCACCCGUGUUUACUGUACCUUAGUUGCUUCGGCGGGCCCGCCAUUCAUGGCCGCCGGGGGCUCUCAGCCCCGGGCCCGCGCCCGCCGGAGACACCACGAACUCUGUCUGAUCUAGUGAAGUCUGAGUUGAUUGUAUCGCAAUCAGUUAAAACUUUCAACAAUGGAUCUCUUGGUUCCGGCAUCGAUGAAGAACGCAGCGAAAUGCGAUAACUAGUGUGAAUUGCAGAAUUCCGUGAAUCAUCGAGUCUUUGAACGCACAUUGCGCCCCCUGGUAUUCCGGGGGGCAUGCCUGUCCGAGCGUCAUUGCUGCCCAUCAAGCACGGCUUGUGUGUUGGGUCGUCGUCCCCUCUCCGGGGGGGACGGGCCCCAAAGGCAGCGGCGGCACCGCGUCCGAUCCUCGAGCGUAUGGGGCUUUGUCACCCGCUCUGUAGGCCCGGCCGGCGCUUGCCGAACGCAAAUCAAUCUUUUUCCAGGUUGACCUCGGAUCAGGUAGGGAUACCCGCUGAACUUAAGCAUAUCAAUAAGCGGAGGAA